GACGUAGGGGGCCAGCGUUGUUCGGAUUCAUUGGGCGUAAAGGGUGCGUAGGCGGCGCGGUAAGUCGGGUGUGAAAUCUCGGAGCUUAACUCCGAAACUGCAUUCGAUACUGCCGUGCUUGAGGACUGGAGAGGAGACUGGAAUUUACGGUGUAGCGGUGAAAUGCGUAGAUAUCGUAAGGAAGACCAGUGGCGAAGGCGAAUCUCUGGACAGUUACUGGCACUGAGGCACGAAGGCCAGGGGAGCAAACGGG
RNAcentral lists this ribosomal RNA (253 nucleotides) under uncultured bacterium. RNAcentral's name for it is "partial 16S ribosomal RNA". It matches the Rfam family "Bacterial small subunit ribosomal RNA", at positions 524 to 776 of the family's 1533-position model. The record is from RNAcentral.